This 24-nucleotide ribosomal RNA is filed under the name Streptococcus pneumoniae 3063-00. Lineage: Bacteria; Bacillati; Bacillota; Bacilli; Lactobacillales; Streptococcaceae. The record is from RNAcentral.
AUUUGAGAGGAUCUGCUCCUAGUA